This 440-nucleotide ribosomal RNA is filed under the name uncultured bacterium. RNAcentral describes it as "partial 16S ribosomal RNA". It matches the Rfam family "Bacterial small subunit ribosomal RNA", at positions 338 to 795 of the family's 1533-position model. The record is from RNAcentral.
CCUACGGGUGGCAGCAGAGGGGAAUAUUGCACAAUGGGGGAAACCCUGAUGCAGCGACGCCGCGUGAAGGAAGAAGUAUUUCGGUAUGUAAAAUUCUAGCAGCAGGGAAGAAAAUGACGGUAUCUGACUAAGAAGCCCCGGCUAACUACGUGCCAGCAGCCUCGGUAAUACGUAGGGGGAAAGCGUGAUCCGGAUGUACUGGGUGUAAAGGGAGAGUAGGCGGCGAUUCAAGUCAGAAGUGAAAGCCCGGGGAUCAACUCCGGGACUGCUUUUGAAACUGUAUGGCUAGAUUGCAGGAGAGGCAAGUGGAAUUCCUAGUGUAGCGGUGAAAUGCGUAGAUAUUAGGAGGAACACCAGUGGCGAAGGCGGCUUGCUGGACUGUAAAUGACGCUGAGGCUCGAAAGCGUGGGGAGCAAACAGGAUUAGAUACCCAAGUAGUC